RNAcentral lists this ribosomal RNA (253 nucleotides) under uncultured bacterium. RNAcentral's name for it is "partial 16S ribosomal RNA". It matches the Rfam family "Bacterial small subunit ribosomal RNA", at positions 524 to 776 of the family's 1533-position model. The record is from RNAcentral.
UACGUAGGGGGCAAGCGUUAUCCGGAUUCAUUGGGCGUAAAGCGCGCGUAGGCGGCUUGCUAAGUCAGAUGUGAAAACCGGAGGCUUAACCUGCGGCCUGCAUCUGAAACUGGCAGGCUUGAGUCUGGUAGAGGGAAGUGGAAUUCCCAGUGUAGCGGUGAAAUGCGCAGAUAUUGGGAGGAACACCGGUGGCGAAGGCGGCUUCCUGGGCCACGACUGACGCUGAGGCGCGAAAGCGUGGGGAGCAAACAGG